AUCAUUAAAGUGGUAAAAAAUGCAACGUUGCCUUUGCAUUUUACAUGUAAAAUUAGAAAUAAGUCAACAGUGCAUGAUUCUACAAACAAAGCAAAGAUGGUAUUUUGACAGUUUCAAAACGAAGUUUGUUUGCUAGAGAGAGUAUCGACUUUAAGUUGGGG
Bradysia coprophila is the source of this 161-nucleotide long non-coding RNA. The record is from RefSeq and is a predicted model, not a curated record. NCBI's taxonomy places the organism in Eukaryota, Metazoa, Arthropoda, Insecta, Diptera, Sciaridae.